CAAGGAAUUUUCGUCAAUGGGGGCAACCCUGAACGAGCAACGCCGCGUGGGCGAAGAAGUCCUUCGGGAUGUAAAGCCCUUUUCCCUGUGAAGAGCGAAAGACGGUAGCAGGGGAAUAAGCAUCGGCUAACUACGUGCCAGCAGCCGCGGUAAUACGUAGGAUGCAAGCGUUGUCCGGAAUUAUUGGGCGUAAAGAGCGCGCAGGCGGCCUUUCAAGUCAGAUGUGAAAUAACCAGGCUUAACCUGGUGGGGUCAUUUGAAACUGGGGGGCUAGAGUACAGCAGAGGAUAGCGGAAUUCCCGGUGUAGUGGUGAAAUGCGUAGAUAUCGGGAGGAACACCAGUGGCGAAGGCGGCUAUCUGGGCUGCAACUGACGCUGAGGCGCGAAGGCUAGGGGAGCAAAC
This 403-nucleotide ribosomal RNA is filed under the name uncultured bacterium. RNAcentral describes it as "bacterial SSU rRNA". It matches the Rfam family "Bacterial small subunit ribosomal RNA", at positions 355 to 773 of the family's 1533-position model. The record is from RNAcentral.